Molecule: non-coding RNA, 131 nt
Organism: Nemania sp. FL0916
Lineage: Eukaryota; Fungi; Ascomycota; Sordariomycetes; Xylariales; Xylariaceae
Source: the annotation of a GenBank genome assembly
GCCCGCUUGGCUCACCGGUAGAGCGCCUCACGUACGUUCCCAUGCCCCGAUGAAUCGUAAUAAUUACAGUAGAUACUGACUCCCUGAUAGUAGUAAUGAGGAGGCAACUGGUUCGACUCCAGUAGUGGGCA